Photinus pyralis (common eastern firefly) is the source of this 1659-nucleotide long non-coding RNA. RefSeq lists it as uncharacterized. The transcript is spliced from 2 exons. NCBI's taxonomy places the organism in Eukaryota, Metazoa, Arthropoda, Insecta, Coleoptera, Lampyridae. The record is from RefSeq and is a predicted model, not a curated record.
GUCAGUGAUCUCUAUAUAAUUAGUUGGGAAUUAAAUAAUAGCAAAAGAUUUCCCAAAUUUUAUUUCGGUAUAAGAGAUUACACAUAGUGAUCUGUGAUACUAUGUUUUAUGAUACGUUUUGCUUUUCCUCAUACUAACUUUAGCCAUUAAAUCAAAUUUUAUUCAAUGCUUCAGCUUCGUUAUACUCAAAUUAGCGACAGCUACUAUAUAUAGUUAAUAACGUAGUAUAACUUAUACUAUUACUACUACUACUAAUUAUUCUUUAUACAUUUUGUUUUAUUACGAUUAUCAAGCGUUAUGUGAUGCUAGCUUUUAAUUUGGAUUUGAGCUCAGCUCCUAUUCGGAAACCAAACUUUUAAUCCGGCUCAUAUUCAGUAGCAAUGAUCCUUGAACUCGUAGAAAUGGAUUGGCGAACGUUUGACAUCCCUAUCUCUGUUCGUUCUCGAGUUAGACGAGGAACAGACAGACGGACAAAACCAUAGCAAAUUGAAAUUAUUUUCCAGGCAAAUAUUGGCCUAGGUGUAAAGUAAAAAUUACAGAAAAAAAUUAGUGAAAGUCAAUAUAAUUGCUAACUCAAGACAACUAUUUUAAUUACGUCAAUCUAUUGCUGUAGAAAGAUAAUCUCCAAAUCCAAAGCCUGUAACGACCACUUAGUCAUUUUUCCCGGAAGGAUUGAGUCAUAUUCACCAUCGCUCUUAUCGCCGAUGACUAAUUUUUCAUGGCGCCUCAAUGUCUAUGGGGAUUUCUAGAAUGUUUGCUACAUUAUUAAGAAUAUCACUAAUAAUUCAUUUAAUAAAUCAUUCAGACUGCUGCGAAAUAAAAUUACUAUCUGAUUAGGAGAAUACAAAUUCACUACUAAACUUGGAUUUAUACUCAGUAGCCGGCUAACAUUCAACGUGAGGGUCGUAAAGUUCGGUAUUCUGCCAGGAAAACUUGCUACCUACUACAAAACUCAAAUCUUAAGGGCGCCAGAUCUAGCGAGGUAAUAAAUCCUCUUGAUCAAGGAGGAUAGGCUCUUCCAAGCAUAGCAUAAUGAAGGUGUAAAAAAACUAGGUAUUGUGGCAGAGAGGAAUUUAAUACGUCUGUAUUUCGAUUUAAAAUUAAAUAUGAUUACCUAGUAUGUAACUACAAAUUAUAAUUGUGGUGUGAAGCACGGUAACAAUAAUAAAGGAAAAAAACUAAUAGGAUUAAUUCGUCCACACCGCAAAAAUCAACAGUGUCAACAAUAUCUUACUACGGUAAUUAAUACGGGUUCUGGAUUCGCUAGCUAGCCCCCGCACCCUGUUUAUAUUUGGGCCAAAUAGAGGUUAGUACAGAUAGACCUCCCAACUGAGAACAAAACGAAUUUUCCUUCACAGGUAAGUAUUAUCAUGAAUGUAAUUAUUUGUAAUUAAAUGGUAAGAAUUAACUCUUUUGAUUUCAGUUUACAUAACCCUUGAAGAGGGUUCAUCAACUCAAAGCCACAAAAAUUAACAAACGCAGAUGCAGCAAGGUAUGGUACCAGUAAGUGCCAGAUUUCAGGCAGCGGAACAAAAAAAGCUGAAAGUUAUGAGAUACUCUAUAUCUAGCUUAAGAGAUACCUAAUUCUUACCUAGAUGUUAUAGCUUGCAACUCGUCCGCAAUGUUCUAAACUACAAAUUACAAAGUUUUAAUACUACA